RNAcentral lists this ribosomal RNA (253 nucleotides) under uncultured bacterium. RNAcentral describes it as "partial 16S ribosomal RNA". It matches the Rfam family "Bacterial small subunit ribosomal RNA", at positions 524 to 776 of the family's 1533-position model. The record is from RNAcentral.
AACGUAGGAGACGAACGUUAUCCGGAGUUACUGGGCGUAAAGGGCGUGUAGGCGGUUUGUUAAGUCUGGCGUGAAAGCUCUCGGCUAAACCGGGAGAGGUCGUUGGAUACUGGCGAACUCGAGGAUGGUAGAGGCGUGUGGAAUUCCAGGUGUAGCGGUGAAAUGCGUAGAUAUCUGGAGGAACACCGGUGGCGAAGGCGGCAUCCUGGACCGGCAUUGACGCUGAGGCGCGAAAGCCAGGGGAGCAAACGGG